This is a long non-coding RNA of Haplochromis burtoni (Burton's mouthbrooder), 954 nucleotides long. RefSeq lists it as uncharacterized. The record is from RefSeq and is a predicted model, not a curated record. The transcript is spliced from 2 exons. Lineage: Eukaryota; Metazoa; Chordata; Actinopteri; Cichliformes; Cichlidae.
CUCGUUGAGUGGAGUGAAAACUGAUACACACCCAUGCACCAAAAUCAAAAUGUUGAUUCAAUUCACUAAGAAGUGACACAUAAUGCUCCAGCUGCUGCAAUGAAGAAUGCUUUACUGACAAAGGCUCAAUGCUGCACACAACAAAGUCAAAUACAGAAUCUGCUAUAAUAAUAAUAAGCCCAGAGGGCAUUUGUGUGGUCUGGGGAGCAGAGUCCCGAGCGGUUUGGUUAUGAAAACGAUGCCUGUGCGAGAUAUCUGGGGCUUAAGGCCUCGACUCAAUUGUUUACUGUACACUAAAAAGAAAAGAAAACAGCCUGAGCAGUGGUGCAGAGUGAAAACGAUGAAUUAACAGUGUGAGUCUUAUUUCAGAGCGCCACAUCAUUGUGAUGGAGAUUUAAUAAAAGGAGGAACACACGGACAAAGAAGGAGAAAGGGGGGCCAGCCCUGGACACGAUUGCCUGAGGUAUUAAAGUUCUGUACUAAGUUCUGGUUUCCAGGGUGAGAAAAGUCACGCAGUGCCAGUAGUAGAGUUGGGUUGAGUGAUGAUUCUAAAUUACUGUAAGUAAAUCAUCGUACACCCGUUCAAGUUUCAUGAUAACUAGGAUCUAGACUUUGUUGAACUCUAGGCAAUUUGAGCAGGUAAAACUGGAGUGACCAAGUAGCAGUUGAAUAAAAGUCAUUGAAUAAGUGUUGAGAUAAACUAGCAGAAUUAAGAGAAUUAAAACAUUUCAAGAGCUCAAAUUACUUAAUAUGGAAACGGUUCAAUUUUGUUUCACGAACGCAAAACAUGUAGGUUUAUGAAUAUGAAAAGGUUGAGGUGGUGUUGAUUUGACUCUGUGUAGGUUUAGGUUUGGCAUUUUUACUGAUGGGAGGAAUAUUCAGUGACAAGUCCUAAGACCCGGGCGUUUGUAUUUUUGUUUUUGGUACCUUUCAUUUUAUUUUGUUUUAUAUUUU